This 4676-nucleotide long non-coding RNA is filed under the name Musa acuminata (dwarf banana). Its description in RNAcentral is "long non-coding RNA (MACU_LNC007774)". The record is from RNAcentral. Lineage: Eukaryota; Viridiplantae; Streptophyta; Magnoliopsida; Zingiberales; Musaceae.
UUGCUUGGCCUUUUCAUUUCCGGCGCAAUAGGCAAGUACUCUACUUGUCUGCAUGGCUCUUCUGUGUGGCACAUCCAUAAAAUGCAAAACAAUCCAUUUGCAGAAUGAAAGAUCGUCAUCAUCCUCGUACUCUUCUCUUAUCCUCGGCCCUAUUUAUUGAAAUCUUAUUCCGCCUAUAUAAUAUAUCUAUAGAUAUUGAUAUUUGAAUAUAGAUAUUAUUGCUAUUAUCUGUGUCACAUUAUUACCUGGUAAAAGCUUUUGACUCUUAUUCUAUUCCUUCGUGCCCCGAAAAGCUUUUGACUCUUAUUCCUUCGCGCCCCUCUGAUGGAAAGGCAAUAUUCUGAUAUACUAUUUUCUCACUUUCUCAGGAUUAUCUCUUCAAAUCAAAGAAUCCACCUACACGAAGCAAUUCCUUUUCUUUUUUCAUCCUCCCUCUCUUGGACUACCACUGAUUCUCUCUCAAUAUGCAUUGAAUGAAGUUCCUGAAUGGGUCUAUUUCUCCCUAGCCCACGUUUCAUCGUUGUGAAGCGAGAACCACUCUUUUCGCUGAGUCCUAGACCAGCCACAGAAAAUCCGUUCUUUUUUGCAAUAAAUAAGAAAGUGGUUUCAGAAGAAAGGAGCCACACUGGAUAACUCGUCUCUCGGGCCUUUUUAGUCGCGGGAUAAAUAGUAUUCAUUCCAUUCUCUUUUAUUGGACUGAAACAAUCCAAAUCCGCCCAGAAAGAUACAAAAGAAGGAAGGGUAUGCUGGGAUUCGCGAAAAGCAGCAAGCCCACCAAAGAAUUCCACCUCGACUCCUACCCAUCGCCCAACCUAUAUAGCAUCCUAAUGAUAGUGAUGCAACUAUAUAGCAUAGCAUCCUAGAUGAUAGUGAUGAUUCUAUAUAGCAUAGCAUCCUAAUGAUAGUGAUUAUUCUUUUUCAAGUGGGAUCGGAACCAAGAGAAAUCAAGGGAUAGCCAAGCAUUAAGGUAAAGGAAGCAAUCAACCCGGUCCCGACGCCUCCCCUAAGUCUUUCGGAUCAGGGUCAACAUUCAAUGUUUCAAAUCGGAUUGACCCUCGAGGGUAAACGGUCUAAACUCUCUCAUAAGCAUGAAUCAAAAGAAAGUGAACAAUUUCGAAUAGAACAAAGGGUAGAACAAGAAUCAAGGUUGCGAAGCAAUCCGUCCUAUUUUCUCUAUUCCCUUUUCCUUCUGGAAGAGUUUACAUUCGAGUAGGAGUGAUCAAAGUACCUAAUUCGUUUUUCUUAGGAUUGUACUCCUCCCAGUCAGUAAGAUCUGAUACAGAGCGGAGAAAGAGGUCAAAGGCAGUUAGCCAAGAGACUUCUUUUCUCAAUCCGAACGCAAAUGGAAACCUCCUAUUUGAUAGAAUCCCGAUAUUCCUCAAUCAGAUGUCCCAUAGAGAAAGGGUCCAAGUUCAAGGAGAGCGGGGAAUGAGCCUAAGACUUACCUUCUACUCCAUAAGAUAGACUUAUUCUGUAUGAAAGAAAGAAUAGGAUCUUCUCUUUUUUAGGGCAAGAAAGAAUCAAAAAGCAACAUGAAUUAAGCGCUUACGCGAGCUACUUAAGUGAGUUCUGACAGUUUCGCUUACAGAGUGCCCUUCUUUACUGUUUACAGGAAUCGAAUCUGCCAGGGAAUGCGCUCUUAGGAAUCCCCUAAUAUCCUCGUUCUAGUAAGUAGUGGGCAAAUCUUUGGAUUUGAAAGACUCCGCUGUGGCACUUUUCACCUUUCUUUCCUUGGGCAUCCAAAAGUUAGCUAGAGAAGAAAGCCGCUCCAGUUUCAUCACAAUAGUUAGAGAUAUCCAAUGCAAACACGCACAGAAGAAUAUGCUUCGAAUGCCCUGUUUUAAGGGGUUUAGAAAGAAGGAGCUACGGGACGGACUUUCAGAGAACUAUGCUAGCACUCUUAUAGAAUAGGUAAGAAUCCACUUUCCCUUAUCAGUGGAAUGAAAUGUUGCUAUAGGAUAUUAGUACUUGAAUCCUUAUAUAGUGAGAGCGAGCCUAGUAACAAGGGAUUCCAUUUCCGUUUCAAAUACAGUUGAGAGCCAUUAUGAUUCAAUUAUGCGAGCGAGCUUUCUACUUAGAGUUAGAGCAUUAGAGUUUACAUUUGCACUUUUCGUUCUAAUAUGGAGGCGAGCAUUCAUAAACGAGUCAAAAGUCAGUGUAGAGGUGGGCCAUUUACUCGUAUUAGAAAGAUAGGGGGGAAACAUCUCACUUCCUGAAUUCAUACCAAUAUAGAUAUAUGUAUUUCAAUAAUAAGACAGAACCCCCGUGAUAGGGGAUUGAAUGAUCAGUCUCUAAGUACCCGAAGCUGUGCUUGUAAAUGUUGUUUCUGUUCGAGGUAAAGUUUCCAGUGUAGUUCUUUCUUGUUUACAUUGAAGAAUGAAUGAUUUGUUGACGAAAGAAAAAUCCAAGAAUCUAGCAUGACACAUAUAGAAGUAAAAGUAGAGAAACAACCUACUGACUCUAUCAAAGUUUAUAAACAACCUACUGACUCUAUUCUAAUACUCCAAACGAAAAGUGACCUAACACUUGUUGAAGAGAGGCACCCCGACCCGACCUUGCUAAACUCAAUAAAUCGAUUACAGCUGGCUCACCGGAUCCCGCUCCAACAAUAAGUGUUAGCGCAAGGGCUUUAAGGUUUCGUCAAGGGUCGAAAAGAAAGUUCAGAUUCCACGGUGAAAAAGCAUUUCAACAAACAGCCGAUAGAGUCCCUAAAUUACCGAUUAGCUAUAUGAGUCCACCCAUGUUAAACGAGAAUAAUUGCCCUGCCCUUCUUUAUCGACAGCUUCACCUUGUAGAAAAGAUAGGUUAUUGGCUUUACGUCUACGAGAGAGGUAGGUUGGUUCUUUUACUAAGAUCUCUGGGAGUGAGUUCUGCUCGCUUACGUGAGUUUGAGUCUUGCUAAGGAUAAAUAUCCGGAUAAGUGCCAAAGUUUGCAGCAAGGAAGGUUUAGGUUUUCAAAAGAGAAGCUCAUAGAGUGGAGUUACGAAAGCAGUAACAAACUAUAGCAUUCAAGUAAGGAACAGGAUAGGAUCAGUUCCAAAGUGAGCUGCCCGCUUCAAAUCUACUUGUUCUAUUGCAGCAAUCGGGUCUUCAAGUUCCGGAGAGGUUGCAUUAUCAUCAAUAGCAAUAUGGGGAAGUCGAGUGAGAGGAAGAAUCCCAUAGAAAGGAGGCGCUCACUAACGUCCUCCGCUCCAACUCCAAUGAGUGCAGCUCCUCACGCGCAAGUAAAACAUAAAGAUGCUAAUGCUAGAAGGUAUAGAAUGGAUUUGUAAUAUUCCCACACCUUAGAUACUCGGCGCAAGAGAAAAGUCUAGGUCCAGGUCCAGGCCUCACAAGAGAAAGAUCGGAAGCCGGGUGCUCGCUCCUUUGUAUUAGAAUUCCUCAUUUGAUUCUCUACAAGAGAAGAAGAAAAGCUGGAUAAGGAGAAUGAACAGGAUCAGUGCAAACCAAAGUAAGCUGCUUGUCCCGAUGUCGCUCAAACUAGAAAGUGGUAGUGUUCCAGAAGAGAAGCAGGAGAACAAUAAGCACGUGUUUCAGUCUACAGUUCCAUUCUUCUAAAUUCAGAGCACGAAGUGUUCCCAAAUUCUAUCAUACGGAGCUCAUUCUGAUGCUUCUUAUGGAGCGAAACUUUCUACCUAACAUCUUUCUUAUUCUCUUGCAACAGGAUAUCUCACUCUUUCUUUUCCGGAUUCUAAUCAAGCUUAUGAGUAAUCUGCUUCCCCUUCUUCUCCUUGAUAGUGGGUUUAAGCCGAGGUGUAACUCGCUCACGCUGAAGACAGAAACGUUGCUUAUUUACUUGUUGAAUCUGCACAUCUCACGUCUCAGAACCAUGUCUGUUCUCGCAGGGGAACCAUCAAGGUAAAGAAAAGGAACUGGCCGAGUCGAUUCCGCUGAUGAACCCUCUUCUUAUCUUGUGGACUGGAAUUUCAUUGCUACUUACUUAGCCCCUUUGUGAACUGCUGACAAGCGAUACUUUAGCAUUUGAUUCGAUAGGAGAUUCGGCUGGCUUCUUCUUAUUCUUAUUACUUAAUGUAAUGGUAGGAUCAAAGAUAGUAGGAUCAAAGUAAAGCACAACUGAGUCAAGAGCUGCUUCACCGACCUAAACUGGAAUUGAAGCUGAUUCUCCAGCGGAUGCUUUAGCUGAUGAUUGACUUUAUACAGUUAAAGCUUUCUUCCCCAGCUGAGAAUCUGGAUCUGGAAACUAGAACAUCACUUUCAUUGGCAGACCCGACAACACAAUAGGCACCCGGAAACCGAUACUGUUUGAUUGAUUGAUUUCUUUCCCGCUUAUAGAGAGCUUCUUGAUACGACUCCAUCUAUCUCGCAUUAACCGAUAAGUAAGGUAGUCCAAAGAAUGAAUAGAAUCUCCCUUGCUCCUGUUAGCGAGCUCACACUGUUUUAUUAAUAAGAUAUGCAUUUAAGGAGCUGUCAGUGAAGAUAUGCAUUUAAGGAGCUGUCAGUGGACAAGAUAGGUCAUUUGCCAUAAGAAUCAUUGAACAUAGCCUAAACGACCUGAAUUCCCUAGUUUUAUUGCCUUCACCGAGAUUAUGUCCUUCUUUCAGCGCCCAGCCCUGUGAACUUACUUGGCUUAAAGGACUCGACUCUAACUCCCCCUACGCGCAACUCAAUCGAACAUCAAUUUCUUCACUAGAUGGUCAUAUCAAAAGUGUGAAUUG